RNAcentral lists this transfer RNA (77 nucleotides) under Rheinheimera tangshanensis. Its description in RNAcentral is "Pararheinheimera tangshanensis tRNA-Asn". It matches the Rfam family "tRNA". From Rfam's summary of the family: Transfer RNA (tRNA) molecules are approximately 80 nucleotides in length. RNAcentral also lists the same sequence under 14 other names. Lineage: Bacteria; Pseudomonadati; Pseudomonadota; Gammaproteobacteria; Chromatiales; Chromatiaceae. The record is from RNAcentral.
UCCUCAGUAGCUCAGCCGGUUAGAGCGGCGGACUGUUAAUCCGUAGGUCGUUGGUUCGAGUCCAACCUGGGGAGCCA